Paramarasmius palmivorus is the source of this 103-nucleotide non-coding RNA. NCBI's taxonomy places the organism in Eukaryota, Fungi, Basidiomycota, Agaricomycetes, Agaricales, Marasmiaceae. The record is from the annotation of a GenBank genome assembly.
GGCGAGAUGGCCGAGCGGUCUAAGGCGCUAGAAUCAGGAUCGCUCCGCAUUCGGAUCGCCAAUCUAGUCCGAAAGGGCGUGGGUUCGAAUCCCACUCUCGUCA